This 646-nucleotide ribosomal RNA is filed under the name uncultured Staphylococcus sp. RNAcentral's name for it is "bacterial SSU rRNA". It matches the Rfam family "Bacterial small subunit ribosomal RNA", at positions 202 to 843 of the family's 1533-position model. Lineage: Bacteria; Bacillati; Bacillota; Bacilli; Caryophanales; Staphylococcaceae. The record is from RNAcentral.
CGGUCUUGCUGUCACUUAUAGAUGGAUCCGCGCUGCAUUAGCUAGUUGGUAAGGUAACGGCUUACCAAGGCAACGAUGCAUAGCCGACCUGAGAGGGUGAUCGGCCACACUGGAACGAGACACGGUCCAGAUUCCUACGGGAGGCAGCAGUAGGAAUCUUCCGCAAUGGGCGAAAGCCUGACGGAGCAACGCCGCGUGAGUGAUGAAGGUCUUCGGAUCGUAAAACUCUGUUAUUAGGGAAGAACAUAUGUGUAAGUAACUGUGCACAUCUUGACGGUACCUAAUCAGAAAGCCACGGCUAACUACGUGCCAGCAGCCGCGGUAAUACGUAGGUGGCAAGCGUUAUCCGGAAUUAUUGGGCGUAAAGCGCGCGUAGGCGGUUUUUUAAGUCUGAUGUGAAAGCCCACGGCUCAACCGUGGAGGGUCAUUGGAAACUGGAAAACCUGAGUGCAGAAGAGGAAAGUGGAAUUCCAUGUGUAGCGGUGAAACGCGCAGAGAUAUGGAGGAACACCAGUGGCGAAGGCGACUUUCUGGUCUGUAACUGACGCUGAUGUGCGAAAGCGUGGGGAUCAAACAGGAUUAGAUACCCUGGUAGUCCACGCCAUAAACGAUGAGUGCUAAGUGUUAGGGGGUUUCCGCCCCUUAG